AAUUCCAUUGUCUUUGCUCCUUGUUUGCCUUCUUUGUGGUUUGUUGUGGUAGGAGAUCAUGAUGGGACCUGGCGGACCAGGCGGACCAGGCGGACCUCCUGGCGGACCAGGCGGACCUGGUGGCCCUGGUCCUGGCUGGCUUCCUCUGCCUGGGGGUCCUCCAGGUUGGGGUCCGGGCCCUGGAGGCCCUGGAGGCCCUGGACCGGGAGGACCUUUCUGGGGACCUGGCCCUGGACCUGGGGGAGGCUUCUGGGGACCUGGAGGAGGCUUCUGGGGACCUGGAGGAGGCUUUGGUGGUUUCUUAGGCUCAUGGUGAGUUGUGCUAUAACCUUAGGUAGUAUACUUUGAUGUAGGACUUGUUGAUGCAAGGUCAUUCAGGGAAGUAAUCGCUUUGCGUUCUUUAUGUUUCUUUAGUCUUUGUCAUUCUCCUCUUAACAUUUCUGCUGCAUUUUAGAAACAUUAAGGCAUCUCUUUUCGAAAAAAAAAUACUUGCCUCGCAACUUUCCAUGUCAAGAAUGGUUUAUGUGAUUGUCAUUUAAGAAAUGACUCAGCCAGUGGUGUAGAUCUAUUUCAUAUCAUAAUGUUAUUUUUAUGGACUCUCGUUUCUGAAAUCUCUCUGCUGCUAAUUUGUUUUGUUACUUUUGUCUUUUUGGCAGCUUUUACUUCCUUUGCUGUUGUUGCCUGCUGCAAGAGUGCUGUGGGCCGUUCUUUGGUGGGCCUCCAGGCCCCCCCGGGCCCCCCGGGGGCCCUGGACCACCUGGACCGCCCUUUUGAUUUAAGCAGUCGACAAGAUGGAAGGGGGAUCACAUACAAACAAUAAUUAGAUGGAGAACAAUGAUUUGCUUAGAGCUAUGUUGUGUUCUUUUUCCUUUUUGGGUCGCUGCCUUCUUUUUUUUGUUUGGUAUUUCUCAUCCUGGAAUGCUUGCUGUGGUGUCUACUACCAUUGAGAUUGUCUAAUGUCACAUUAUUAAAGAAACUCCAAACCUUCCAUUCGGAAAGUGUUUGUUUUUUUCACAACAAUAUGGGAAGGUUAAAACAUUUGACAUCCUAAUUUGUUGGUAGUUCUGCAAGUUAUGCUUUAUGGUUCAAGUUUUAUUUGUUUGAGUUUGCACAAGAGUCAAAAAUAAAUUCCUUACAUUUUUUUGCAUGAUUCUGACAUUUAUAUGGUUUCACACUUGUUUGAUCAAACUGCAUGUUUAUCAAAAAUUACAUGAUUACUGAGAGGAAUUUUAAAUCUCCACAUACCUAAACUAGCAGUGUAGUUGAUCAAAAUAUUCAAGCUUGGUUUAAGGCCAGACAAUUAUGGUGCUAUCUUUUUGAGAACAGUACAGGUGGAAGUCCAGCCAAAAAUUAGAGGGAGAGGGGAUUAAAUCCAAAUAUCUUAUAUCGAUGGGAGAAACUUUGCCUGCUCAAUCAGCUAAUCAUGGUGCUAGCAUUUUCAAAGCCCUUGAGGCUUGGCUUCCAGAGGCCUUUUAUAAGAUCUUUUUAUAACUAAAUUCUAGUUACAAACGUGAUAUCAUGAGCUUUAAUUAAGGGCAAAUUAUCUCAACUAGUUUGCAUCCUCUCUACUUUGCAAAGGUUAUUAUCGCAUUUCUCAAAGAUUUAUCAUAUCCAAUUAGGAAGAAAUGACAUUCCCCCAUUCACCUGAUAUCUUUGACUAAUUUGCGUUUCCUAUGAAACUUAUACUUCAGUUACACCAAACAUGAC
Molecule: long non-coding RNA, 1707 nt
Filed under: Phoenix dactylifera (date palm)
Lineage: Eukaryota; Viridiplantae; Streptophyta; Magnoliopsida; Arecales; Arecaceae
Description: long non-coding RNA (PDAC_LNC006248)
Source: RNAcentral